AAAUUAACAACGCAAAAUAAUAACAUUCUCGGGACAUGCAUACUUUGAUGCGAGGUUAUCAACCACGGUAGCCCAAGACCAUUGAAAGCUCUCGGACAGGAUGGAGAACAAACACUACCGAACAAUCUUGGGUGCGGUGCUUCCCUGUCCUCUCCGAGGGCGAUGGGAAGGAUCGCAAUGAUUGAGCGUACAU
RNAcentral lists this small RNA (193 nucleotides) under Rosellinia necatrix. RNAcentral's name for it is "A. fumigatus sRNA Afu_182". It matches the Rfam family "A. fumigatus sRNA Afu_182". Lineage: Eukaryota; Fungi; Ascomycota; Sordariomycetes; Xylariales; Xylariaceae. The record is from Rfam by way of RNAcentral.